AUUGAACGCUGGCGGCAUGCUUUACACAUGCAAGUCGAACGGCAGCGCGGGCUUCGGCCUGGCGGCGAGUGGCGAACGGGUGAGUAAUGCAUCGGAACGUGCCCAGGAGUGGGGGAUAGCCCGGAGAAAGCCGGAUUAAUACCGCAUACGACCUGAGGGUGAAAGCGGGGGACCGAGAGGCCUCGCGCUAUUGGAGCGGCCGAUGUCGGAUUAGCUAGUUGGUGGGGUAAAGGCUUACCAAGGCGACGAUCCGUAGCUGGUCUGAGAGGACGACCAGCCACACUGGGACUGAGACACGGCCCAGACUCCUACGGGAGGCAGCAGUGGGGAAUUUUGGACAAUGGGGGCAACCCUGAUCCAGCCAUGCCGCGUGCGGGAAGAAGGCCUUCGGGUUGUAAACCGCUUUUGUUCGGGAAGAAAUCCUCUGGGCUAAUACCCCGGGGGGAUGACGGUACCGGAAGAAUAAGCACCGGCUAACUACGUG
This 484-nucleotide ribosomal RNA is filed under the name uncultured bacterium. RNAcentral's name for it is "partial 16S ribosomal RNA". It matches the Rfam family "Bacterial small subunit ribosomal RNA", at positions 28 to 507 of the family's 1533-position model. The record is from RNAcentral.